RNAcentral lists this ribosomal RNA (253 nucleotides) under uncultured bacterium. RNAcentral describes it as "partial 16S ribosomal RNA". It matches the Rfam family "Bacterial small subunit ribosomal RNA", at positions 524 to 776 of the family's 1533-position model. The record is from RNAcentral.
UACGUAGGGUGCAAGCGUUGUCCGGAUUUAUUGGGCGUAAAGAGCUCGUAGGCGGUCUGUCGCGUCGGAUGUGAAAACCCAGGGCUCAACCCUGGGCCUGCAUUCGAUACGGGCAGACUAGAGUACGGCAGGGGAGACUGGAAUUCCUGGUGUAGCGGUGAAAUGCGCAGAUAUCAGGAGGAACACCGGUGGCGAAGGCGGGUCUCUAGGCCGGUACCGACGCUGAGGAGCGAAAGCGUGGGGAGCGAACAGG